GACGAACGCUGGCGGCGUGCUUAACACAUGCAAGUCGAACGGAAAGGCCCUGCUUGCCGGGUACUCGAGUGGCGAACGGGUGAGUAACACGUGGGUGAUCUGCCCUUCACUUCGGGAUCAGCUUGGGAAACUGGGUCUAAUACCGGCUAGGCACCAUCUUUAGUGUGGCGGUUGGACAGUUUUUUCGGUGUAGGAUGAGCUCGCGGCCUAUCAGCUUGUUGGUGGGGUAAUGGCCUACCAAGGCGGCGACGGGUAGCCGGCCUGGGAGGGUGUACGGCCACAUUGGGACUGAGAUACGGCCCAGACUCCUACGGGAGGCAGCAGUGGGGAAUAUUGCACAAUGGGCGCAAGCCUGAUGCAGCGACGCCGCGGGGGGGAUGAAGGCCUUCGGGUUGUAAACUCCUUUCGCUAGGGACGAAGCUUUUUGUGACGGUACCUAGAUAAGAAGCACCGGCUAACUACGUG
RNAcentral lists this ribosomal RNA (465 nucleotides) under uncultured bacterium. RNAcentral's name for it is "partial 16S ribosomal RNA". It matches the Rfam family "Bacterial small subunit ribosomal RNA", at positions 28 to 507 of the family's 1533-position model. The record is from RNAcentral.